Podarcis raffonei (Aeolian wall lizard) is the source of this 1921-nucleotide long non-coding RNA. RefSeq lists it as uncharacterized. The transcript has 5 exons. The record is from RefSeq and is a predicted model, not a curated record. NCBI's taxonomy places the organism in Eukaryota, Metazoa, Chordata, Lepidosauria, Squamata, Lacertidae.
CCUACCUCGCUUCUCCAAUUACACGUGCGUUAAUAAUACAUGGCUUUGAUAGGGAACGGGAUUCUGGUGCUUUUGGAUUUUCUCGCUCUCUUUUUCUAAAUGGGGUUAAUGCAAUAUUAAUCGGUUGCGGCUGUUCUAAGAAUGCGCAGGGUUUUUCAGGAACAAAUCGAUGAAGGCUGGGGAUGGCAAGAGCAAAGGCAACCUCUCUCCUUGCGGUGUAAUCUCGCUUUCAAACGCUCCCAAAGCUUUGGACACCUAUCCAAGCUUCAGAGCCCUCUGAGAUUAUUCACUGUGAGUAAUUUAACUGCAGCUUUCUGAUUUCACCGUCGUGUAGCAUACGGAUGUGAAACCAACAAAAUAGUCCCGGAGAGAGGACUUGACUACACGGUGACAUCGAAAAGACAACUGGCUGCUUGUGGCUUGGCUGACUUGCUGGAGCUACCUUCUUUGGAAGCACAUGGGUGCCCUGAAGCUGCUCCUCACUGUACUUCUCGGAACCUGCGGCGCUGCAUCGCUAAUAUUUGAGAGCAAUACCGCAUGGAGGAGAGUUGCGAGGUAACGGAGCCCCAUUUCAUUCAUCCAGCGAGAGGAAGCGUGUAUGCCCUCCGGAAGAGGGUUAUUUUUCUGAAGAAAUGAUGAGCAUCACAACCAACCAACCAUGGUCUUUUAUCUGGGUGUUCAACGUUGAUAACCUGGGUCAAUGUGCCGUGAACCAUUCUGAGCAUCUCUUCAUACUGCAGUGGAAAUGGGGAGAAUAAUCACUACUCAGUGCUCAGAAGGCGUAAGUAUAGGCCAGGUGAUGGGUGUCUGAGUAAUGACAACAUAUAGUCAACAAGAUGGAGAACUUUGUAUCAUGCUACAGCAGGCACCAGGUGGACAGUUUUGCGUUGACAUUGCACAGAUACCCAAGAAGCACUACAAGUGUUAAAUUAAUUCAUGAUUGUUUCAGUGGCUCAUUGAUGGGUUUUGUUGCUUCCAUGCAGAUGACAGAAUUGUGAUCACACCUGUUGUCAUGCUGGUUGGUGUUGUGGAUUUCAUAGCAUAGCCAUUCAUUGGGACACAGUCAGCUUAUGGUGUAGUGCAAAUCACUGAGGGCAACUGAGGUGACAGUAGAAUAACUUUUAGCUGGGUGCAGAGCUAGUGGAAAUUGAUUAUAUACUUGGUGACCCAAGGAGUACCAAGUAGCAGGCAAUUUGUUUCCUAUUCAAACAAUAUAGCUAAUAUAUGUACUUCGUUAAUCUGCUUCAGAGCAUAUUGACUGCCUCAAAUUACAUAUUUAAGUAUUUUAAUGCUGUCAAAGACUUCUGUAGUGUCUAUGCAAAUGUUUUGGGAGCCAUAGCUCAGUGGCAGGGUAUGUGUUUUGCGUGCAAAAGGUCACUGAUUUAAUCUCCAGUAUCUUUAGGUAGGGUUGGGAUUAAUGUUCUCAUCUGAAACUUGGAGAGCCACUGUAGUGAGCUACAUGGAGCUACUGGUCUGACUGAGUAUAAGGCAGCUUCUUAUGCUCAAAACAAGACACGCACAGAGAGGAAGUCAGUCAACAGGGUGCUAGGAUAGCCAUAGCUAUCAGAGACCAGUGUAAGUUUUAAAACCUUUUUUUUAAAAUAAAUUUUGAAAUUAGAAGAAUAACCACCCCAAAGCAAAGCCUGCUUUGGUUAAUGGGCAACAAAGGAAUCAUAUGAACCCAAGCCAAGGCUAAGAGUAAAUAAAGCUAACAGACUUGGCCUAGAGAAGUUACUUCACGGCAUAUGAAUGAAACUUUCAGGUUCAAGUCAAAAAGAAUACUGCUGAGAAACUGCCCUUCACAGGAUAUAUUUUUCCACUUCACACACUCCUCUCUUUCCAUUUACUCUGGCACCAGCAAACAGGUCAAGAUGAGAGCAGGCCUCUACAGCGGUGGCUCCCUGUUCGUGGAAUGCUCUCC